RNAcentral lists this ribosomal RNA (715 nucleotides) under uncultured Pseudomonadota bacterium. RNAcentral's name for it is "bacterial SSU rRNA". It matches the Rfam family "Bacterial small subunit ribosomal RNA", at positions 69 to 776 of the family's 1533-position model. The record is from RNAcentral. Lineage: Bacteria; Pseudomonadati; Pseudomonadota.
ACAGUAAGAGCUUGCUCUUAUGGGUGGCGAGUGGCGGACGGGUGAGGAAUACAUCGGAAUCUACUCUGUCGUGGGGGAUAACGUAGGGAAACUUACGCUAAUACCGCAUACGACCUACGGGUGAAAGCAGGGGAUCUUCGGACCUUGCGCGAUUGAAUGAGCCGAUGUCGGAUUAGCUAGUUGGCGGGGUAAAGGCCCACCAAGGCGACGAUCCGUAGCUGGUCUGAGAGGAUGAUCAGCCACACUGGAACUGAGACACGGUCCAGACUCCUACGGGAGGCAGCAGUGGGGAAUAUUGGACAAUGGGCGCAAGCCUGAUCCAGCCAUACCGCGUGGGUGAAGAAGGCCUUCGGGUUGUAAAGCCCUUUUGUUGGGAAAGAAAUCCAGCCGGCUAAUACCUGGUUGGGAUGACGGUACCCAAAGAAUAAGCACCGGCUAACUUCGUGCCAGCAGCCGCGGUAAUACGAAGGGUGCAAGCGUUACUCGGAAUUACUGGGCGUAAAGCGUGCGUAGGUGGUCGUUUAAGUCCGUUGUGAAAGCCCUGGGCUCAACCUGGGAACUGCAGUGGAUACUGGACGACUAGAGUGUGGUAGAGGGUAGCGGAAUUCCUGGUGUAGCAGUGAAAUGCGUAGAGAUCAGGAGGAACAUCCAUGGCGAAGGCAGCUACCUGGACCAACACUGACACUGAGGCACGAAAGCGUGGGGAGCAAACAGG